CUGGAUCCAAUUGACAUUGAGAACAAUUAUACUGGGAAUAAUUCAUUCCACUCAACCUCUGUUGUAAAACACUCACACGCAACAUACCAUUUCAUCACACGGGAAAAGGAUGUGGCGGUUUGUUAGCACAAGAAGCUAAUGCAGCGAGCUACAUCUUCACUAAGUGCUCCUUCUUAGAGUCAAACAGAUGAGGCCAGUCACAGAAGAUCCACACCCAAGUAUGAAAAGUAGGUUGCGAGUGGCUCAGAGUGAGAUUGCUAUCAAGUCAACAGGAAGGGACAAAAACAAGAAGUAGUCAUUUCCAACCAUCUGACAAUGAAAAACAAAACAGUCCUAUGUGCGGGAGUCUUUGCUGUUUUCCUUACUUCUGCCUUAUCAACCAUCAUAUUUUCAGAAAGGCUUGCAAGGGAGAAAAGCAAAACACACACAGGAGAGUUCCUGCUUUGAUGCUGUCUGAAAUCAGGUCUAAUGCUAAUGCUGGUCAAAUUUGAAAUUAGGGCAUUCAAACUUCAAGGUAAAACUGUAAGAUUGAUAUUCAGUCCUUGCACUCUUCAUGCAUGUACUGCGGAGAUAACAUGGUUGUUUUCUUAAAAAAAAAAACUGCUGACAUAGUUGUUGUUUACGACACAAAAUCUCAAGACCCUCUUGUGGCCGCUGGAAUUCUGCCGGGAGCAGAAGGAGGAAAAUCGGGUGACAUUCCGCUGGCAUCCCAGCGGGGCCCACUGCGGAGUGAUACAGCUGUGUCGCGGGUUUGAUCCAGCCUCAGUGCGCCUUCCCAGCGGGAGCGUUCCAAAAAUGUUCCUUGCCGAGCACAACUUGCUGAACUGAUCUUUUGAUCCAUGCUUAAAAUUCCGUUGCGACUCUAUCAAAAUGACGAUGAAAUCCUAGACUUCAACCUUCGAAUGAACAAACAUGAUCCUUUUUGUGCAGAUAUUCCAUCUUGGUUCUUUAGCAGGACAUUAAAGACAUUUAACAGGCCUUUCAAAUAUAAUAGCACACCCUUCUUAACAUCACAAUGGAGAUGUAAACAGCGAAUGAAGGACUCUCAGGUGUCUGUAUUGUUGAAAGGAGUUUCUUCUUCAAAACCUAAGGUCUUUUUCUGAAAUGACCAUGAAACUCAACUACUAAGAACAAAUGUCAUUCAUAAAUUAGUUUUAAUUGCAAAGUGAGUGUUUAUGCCAAGAAAAGAAAGCAUUGACGUUGGUAGCUCAAUGUGUUCAGUCCAAGCCGGCAGUAAUUCACAAACUUUUCGGAGCACCUUUUCGACUUCUUAAAAGCCUUCUUACAAGAAAGAUUUAUGACCUUCACUGGCUAAAAGGAGCAAUUUGGGAUACUGAGGAAAUUCAUAUCCGAGCAGGAAGCCCCCACCUGUUCCUCUCUGUUUUAUUUAGUUGACCGAGUGACACGAAAUUAGCUGGU
This is a long non-coding RNA of Syngnathus acus (greater pipefish), 1419 nucleotides long. RefSeq lists it as uncharacterized. NCBI's taxonomy places the organism in Eukaryota, Metazoa, Chordata, Actinopteri, Syngnathiformes, Syngnathidae. The record is from RefSeq and is a predicted model, not a curated record. The transcript has 2 exons.